UUGACCUCGGAUCAGGUAGGAAUAUCCCGCUGAACUUAAGCAUAUC
This 46-nucleotide ribosomal RNA is filed under the name Colletotrichum fructicola. RNAcentral describes it as "partial 28S ribosomal RNA". Lineage: Eukaryota; Fungi; Ascomycota; Sordariomycetes; Glomerellales; Glomerellaceae. The record is from RNAcentral.